Molecule: long non-coding RNA, 346 nt
Organism: Meriones unguiculatus (Mongolian gerbil)
Lineage: Eukaryota; Metazoa; Chordata; Mammalia; Rodentia; Muridae
Exons: 4
Source: RefSeq, a predicted model, not a curated record
GGGCAUUUCAUCAAGUCAGGGUUUCUUACAGUGGCAACAGUGUUUUAGUUCCUGAUAUGCCAGUGAAGCAGAUAGAUGGCACCUGAUGUUUUCGUACAGAAGCCCCUUCUGGUGACCUGUCCAAGGUAUGCAUGCAUGCCCUGCCCUGAAGAGGAAUGAUGGUUCAUGUGUGUAAUGCAUGGCCCAAGGACAGCAGUAUGACCUCAGGCAGCAGCACAAACCGGUUUGUUUGGGUAGCCCGGACUGUUCUGGAACUCACUCUGUAGACCAGAAUGGCCUCGAAUUCAGAGAUGCACUUCCCUCUGCUUCUUUAAUGCUGGGAUUAAAGGCACGGACCACCGUCAUG